This is a non-coding RNA of Acanthosepion pharaonis, 98 nucleotides long. NCBI's taxonomy places the organism in Eukaryota, Metazoa, Mollusca, Cephalopoda, Sepiida, Sepiidae. The record is from the annotation of a GenBank genome assembly.
CUCAAACACUGGUUCUCACAUGAUCACCGGAGUAAAGCAAUGUUGAGCCUGGUCAGUAGUCAGAUGGGUGAAUGCUUGGGAAUACCAAGUGCUGCAAG